UACGGGGGGGGCAAGCGUUGUUCGGAAUUAUUGGGCGUAAAGGGCGCGCAGGCGGCCAGGGAAGUCAAGGGUGAAAGCCCCCGGCUCAACCGGGGAGUAGCCAAUGAAACCACCUGGCUGGAGUGCUGGAGAGGAAAGCGGAAUUCCCAGUGUAGCGGUGAAAUGCGUAGAUAUUGGGAGGAACAUCUGUGGCGAAGGCGGCUUUCUGGACAGACACUGACGCUGAGGCGCGAAAGCCAGGGGAGCAAACGGG
RNAcentral lists this unclassified non-coding RNA (253 nucleotides) under uncultured Acidobacteriota bacterium. Its description in RNAcentral is "uncultured Acidobacteria bacterium contains 16S-23S intergenic spacer region". It matches the Rfam family "Bacterial small subunit ribosomal RNA", at positions 524 to 776 of the family's 1533-position model. The record is from RNAcentral. Lineage: Bacteria; Pseudomonadati; Acidobacteriota.